RNAcentral lists this transfer RNA (83 nucleotides) under Phycisphaerae bacterium. Its description in RNAcentral is "tRNA-Leu". It matches the Rfam family "tRNA". Rfam says of the family: Transfer RNA (tRNA) molecules are approximately 80 nucleotides in length. Their secondary structure includes four short double-helical elements and three loops (D, anti-codon, and T loops). Further hydrogen bonds mediate the characteristic L-shaped molecular structure. tRNAs have two regions of fundamental functional importance: the anti-codon, which is responsible for specific mRNA codon recognition, and the 3' end, to which the tRNAs corresponding amino acid is attached (by aminoacyl-tRNA synthetases). tRNAs cope with the degeneracy of the genetic code in two manners: having more than one tRNA (with a specific anti-codon) for a particular amino acid; and 'wobble' base-pairing, i.e. permitting non-standard base-pairing at the 3rd anti-codon position. Lineage: Bacteria; Pseudomonadati; Planctomycetota; Phycisphaerae. The record is from RNAcentral. RNAcentral also lists the same sequence under 2 other names.
GGCCGAGUGGCGGAAUGGCAGACGCUGGGGACUUAAAAUCCCCUGCUCGCAAGGGCGUGUGGGUUCGAAUCCCACCUCGGCCA